CAAGCCGUUUCCGUACAACCCCAUUUUGACCUGAACCAGAACUGAACUCCUCAUCAUCAGAAGAUGAAGAGCCGUAGAACCGGUCAAACAAUUUCGGAGUUCGCUCCGUCUCAUCGAAGCUAAAUUUCCUACCGGAACUUCCGACUCUAUUGACAUCUCCGGCGCCGGCGACGUCGUCGGAAUCGGAGUCGGAGUUGAAAACGAAUUUUUCACUGUAGCAGUGGUAAUUCCGGGGACGACGGCGAUUUUCUAGCUUCUAGUUCAAAUA
Molecule: unclassified non-coding RNA, 268 nt
Filed under: Hevea brasiliensis (rubber tree)
Lineage: Eukaryota; Viridiplantae; Streptophyta; Magnoliopsida; Malpighiales; Euphorbiaceae
Source: RNAcentral